GCCGAGAUCGCAUAGCCUGGUAGUGCGCGCGACUGGAAAUCGCGUGGGCCUGUCCCUCGGGAGUUCAAAUCUCUCUCUCGGCGCCA
Molecule: transfer RNA, 86 nt
Filed under: Candidatus Poseidonia alphae
Lineage: Archaea; Methanobacteriati; Thermoplasmatota; Candidatus Poseidoniia; Candidatus Poseidoniales; Candidatus Poseidoniaceae
Also listed under: 10 other names
Description: tRNA-Ser
Rfam family: tRNA
About the family: Transfer RNA (tRNA) molecules are approximately 80 nucleotides in length.
Source: RNAcentral